UAAAUAACAAUACAGGGCCCUUAGGGUCUUGUAAUUGGAAUGAGUACAAUUUAAAUCUCUUAACGAGGAACAACUAGAGGGCAAGUCUGGUGCCAGCAGCCGCGGUAAUUCCAGCUCUAGUAGCGUAUAUUAAAGUUGUUGCAGUUAAAAAGCUCGUAGUUGAACUUGAAGUGUGCAUGUGUGGUGCACCUAACCGUGCUACUAUGCAUGUAUGCUUGAUGGGUGGACUAGCUACAUGACAGUGAUGUUGUGUUGGUGAUGUCCAGCGUUUACUGUGAAAAAAUUAGAGUGUUUAAAGCAGGCUGGAUGGGCUUGAAUACAUUAGCAUGGAAUAACUGAAUAGGCUCUGAGGGCUAUUUUGUUGGUUUUGGGUGGCUCAGAGAAUGAUUAACAGGAACAGUUGGGGGCAUUAGUAUUUACUAGUCAGAGGUGAAAUUCUUGGAUUUAGUAAAGACUAACUUCUGCGAAAGCAUUUGCCAAGGAUGUUUUCAUUAAUCAAGAACGAAAGUUAGGGGAUCGAAGACGAUUAGAUACCGUCGUAGUCUUAACCAUAAACUAUGUCGACUCAGAAUUGCUGCUCGGUUGUUUGAUGCCGGCAGCAGCGCUGUGUGGGAAACCAAAGUGUUUGGAUUCUGGGGGAGUACAAUCGCAAGGUUGAAACUUAAAGGAAUUGACGGAAGGGCACCACCAGGAGUGGAUUAUGCGGCUUAAUUUGACUCAACACGGGGAAACUUACCAGGUCAGAACAUAGUGAGGAUUGACAGAUUGAGAGCUCUUUCUUGAUUCUAUGGGUGGUGGUGCAUGGCCGUUCUUAGUUGGUGGAGUGAUUUGUCUGGUUAAUUCCGAUAACGAACGAGACCUUAACCUGCUAACUAGAGCAUGGAAGUCUUGUACUUCCAUUGAUGGGGCUCUUCUUAGAGGGACUGUCGAUGUCUAAUCGACGGAGGUUUGAGGCAAUAACAGGUCUGUGAUGCCCUUAGAUGUUCUGGGCCGCACGCGUGAUACACUGACGCAGUCAGCGAGUUUAUUACCUUGGCCGAGAGGUCUGGGUAAUCUUGUGAAACUGUGUCGUGUUGGGGAUAGACCCUUGUAAUUAUUGGUCUUGAACGAGGAAUUCCUAGUAAGCGCGAGUCAUCAGCUCGCGUUGAUUACGUCCCUGCCCUUUGUACACACCGCCCGUCGCUAGUACCGAUUGAAUGGCUUAGUGAGGC
Molecule: ribosomal RNA, 1211 nt
Filed under: Aphelida sp.
Lineage: Eukaryota; Fungi; Aphelidiomycota
Description: SSU rRNA
Rfam family: Eukaryotic small subunit ribosomal RNA
Source: RNAcentral